UACGGAGGGGGUUAGCGUUGUUCGGAAUUACUGGGCGUAAAGCGUACGUAGGCGGAUUAGCAAGUAUGGGGUGAAAUCCCGGGGCUCAACCCCGGAACUGCCUCAUAAACUGCUAGUCUAGAGUCCGAGAGAGGUGAGUGGAAUUGUGAGUGUAGAGGUGAAAUUCGUAGAUAUUCACAGGAACACCAGUGGCGAAGGCGGCUCACUGGCUCGGUACUGACGCUGAGGUACGAAAGUGUGGGGAGCAAAC
Molecule: ribosomal RNA, 250 nt
Filed under: uncultured bacterium
Lineage: Bacteria
Description: partial 16S ribosomal RNA
Rfam family: Bacterial small subunit ribosomal RNA
Source: RNAcentral